This is a non-coding RNA of Punica granatum (pomegranate), 1150 nucleotides long. The record is from RefSeq and is a predicted model, not a curated record. NCBI's taxonomy places the organism in Eukaryota, Viridiplantae, Streptophyta, Magnoliopsida, Myrtales, Lythraceae.
GAGAAGUGCCUUUUGAAAUAAGAAAACUCCCGCACACCUUCACGCCUUUAACAGAGCAAAAGAACCCACACAUUUGCGUUGGCGCUUUAUUUCUUCCCUCCCUUCCCCUGCCUCCUUCUGGCCGAUUCAAAACUCUCUCGCCGAUUCGAAACGCUGCUGCAUUUCAGACCCAUACCGAAUAGGCGCUCCGAUCCGUCCCUGCGCCUUCACUGUUGUAUUGUUCGGAGAAACCCCAAUAGGGAUACGCGCUCCCCUCCUUUCCCUGCGGCUUCACUGUUCUACCCUUCGGAAGGCCCCAAAAGAGCGCUUCCGCUGUCCUCCCAGUAUGUGUCUCCUCUUAUAUGGCCAGCUCUGCAAUUACCUACUUGUGCUACACAUUCGCAUUUGAAAGUCCAUGCUAUCAUGGAUGGAGCAUUGAAAAGCUUGAAGCGCAGUUGGUCCAACAACUAUUAUUCAAGAAUGUUAGCUGGACAGAAGAAGCGCAAGAUAAGAGCCGUUCUUGCAAGCAGAGAAAGAGCAAAUACAGUGCAGAACUCAGUGCAUUGUUCAAUGGAGAGCUAGACGAAGUAUUCUACAAGGCUGGUCUCAUCCAUCUUACAUGUUUCUCCACGCUCCUUACUGAGCGUAACCUUGCCCAACCGGGGAUUCUAUGAUGCAGUCAUUAUAUGAUGUAAUUACUUUUUUGACCAUCGGAUGAUCACUAAAUUAUUUUUUUCUCCAUGUGAAACCAAGUAUCUAGAAGUCCAAUUGGAACCCGACCAAUCCAAAUUAGUCGGAUUAGCCCAUUAAGGGUUUAAAUCUCUUUCGGCGUUGAUUUUUUGCGCUAAUAACAACUCGAAUUCGAGACCUUACUUAAACGAACAAUCGCCGAACUGUUUGAACUAACCCUUGUGGUCAAUAAAUUAUUAUUAUUAUUAUUAUUAUUGCUAUCUGAGCCUUUCCACACUUUAAUAAGCUUACUACGUAUAUGUCUCAUUUCUUAUAAAAAAAAAUAAAAAAUAAAAAAGUAUGUGUCUCAUGUACAAGCUUUUGUGCUGUUAGAGCCUUUCCGUACCUCAAGAAGUCUAAAAUGAAAGAUGUUAUAUAGUGACACUUUAUUGUUUUGAAAGAAAAUUGCAGAUACGGAAACCCAAUGGAGAUCACACCAUGC